This is a long non-coding RNA of Oncorhynchus kisutch (coho salmon), 305 nucleotides long. RefSeq lists it as uncharacterized. The record is from RefSeq and is a predicted model, not a curated record. The transcript is spliced from 3 exons. NCBI's taxonomy places the organism in Eukaryota, Metazoa, Chordata, Actinopteri, Salmoniformes, Salmonidae.
CGUCAACCAUGGGGAGGUGUAGUCUAACGACUAAGGGGAUGACGUCAACCAUGGGGAGGUGUAGUCUAAGGGGAUGACGUCAACCAUGGGGAGGUGUAGUCGAACGGCUAGGGGAUGACGUCAAGCAUGGGGAGGUGUAGUCUAACGGCUAGGGGGAUGACGUCAACCAUGGGGAGGUGUAGUCUAACGGCUAGGGGGAUGACGUCAACCAUGGCGAGGUGUAGUCUAAUGGCUAAGGGGGAUGACGUCAACCAUGGGGAGGUGUAGUCUAACGUGUAGGGGAUGACGUCAACCAUGGAGGUGUA